Molecule: unclassified non-coding RNA, 234 nt
Filed under: uncultured Udeniomyces
Lineage: Eukaryota; Fungi; Basidiomycota; Tremellomycetes; Cystofilobasidiales
Description: sequence contains ITS2
Source: RNAcentral
AACUCUCACUCCUCAUCUUUCUUUAUUGAGAGGUAGGGACGUGGAUUUGGAUCUGUUGCUGGUGAAUCUGAUUCAUCGGCUCAUCCGAAAUAUAUUAGCUGGAUCCUCUUUGUCAAUUGGUUCUACUCGACGUAAUAAGUAUUUCGUCGAGGACGGUCUUCGGAUCGGCCGAUAGAAAGAGUCUUUUAGAUCCGCUUCUAAUCCGUGCGAUUUUAUUAUCCACACUUUUUUAUG